RNAcentral lists this ribosomal RNA (451 nucleotides) under Clavibacter nebraskensis. RNAcentral describes it as "bacterial SSU rRNA". It matches the Rfam family "Bacterial small subunit ribosomal RNA", at positions 9 to 458 of the family's 1533-position model. Lineage: Bacteria; Bacillati; Actinomycetota; Actinomycetes; Micrococcales; Microbacteriaceae. The record is from RNAcentral.
GAGUUUGAUCCUGGCUCAGGACGAACGCUGGCGGCGUGCUUAACACAUGCAAGUCGAACGGUGAUGUCAGAGCUUGCUCUGGCGGAUCAGUGGCGAACGGGUGAGUAACACGUGAGUAACCUGCCCCCGACUCUGGGAUAACUGCUAGAAAUGGUAGCUAAUACCGGAUAUGACGACUGGCCGCAUGGUCUGGUCGUGGAAAGAAUUUCGGUUGGGGAUGGACUCGCGGCCUAUCAGGUUGUUGGUGAGGUAAUGGCUCACCAAGCCUACGACGGGUAGCCGGCCUGAGAGGGUGACCGGCCACACUGGGACUGAGACACGGCCCAGACUCCUACGGGAGGCAGCAGUGGGGAAUAUUGCACAAUGGGCGCAAGCCUGAUGCAGCAACGCCGCGUGAGGGAUGACGGCCUUCGGGUUGUAAACCUCUUUUAGUAGGGAAGAAGCGAAAGUG